GACGAACGCUGGCGGCGUGCUUAACACAUGCAAGUCGAACGGAAAGGCCCUGCUUGUGUGUGGUGCUCGAGUGGCGAACGGGUGAGUAACACGUGAGUAACCUGCCCUUGACUUUGGGAUAACUUCAGGAAACUGGGGCUAAUACCGGAUAGGAGCUCCUGCUGCAUGGUGGGGGUUGGACAGUUUCGGCGGUUGGGGAUGGACUCGCGGCUUAUCAGCUUGUUGGUGGGGUAGUGGCUUACCAAGGCUUUGACGGGUAGCCGGCCUGGGAGGGUGACCGGCGACAUUGGGACUGAGAUACGGACCAGACGGCUACGGGAGGCAGCAGGGGGGAGUAUGGUACAAUGGGCGGAAGCGUGAUGAAGCGGCGCUGCGAGCGGGAAGCAGGCCAUGGGGUUGUAAACCGCUGUAACCUGUGACGAAGCGUGAGUGACGGUAAUAGGUGAAGAAGCACCGGCUAACUACGUG
Molecule: ribosomal RNA, 468 nt
Filed under: uncultured bacterium
Lineage: Bacteria
Description: partial 16S ribosomal RNA
Rfam family: Bacterial small subunit ribosomal RNA
Source: RNAcentral